RNAcentral lists this transfer RNA (73 nucleotides) under Gordonia phage Sixama. RNAcentral describes it as "tRNA-Val". It matches the Rfam family "tRNA". Rfam says of the family: Transfer RNA (tRNA) molecules are approximately 80 nucleotides in length. Their secondary structure includes four short double-helical elements and three loops (D, anti-codon, and T loops). Further hydrogen bonds mediate the characteristic L-shaped molecular structure. tRNAs have two regions of fundamental functional importance: the anti-codon, which is responsible for specific mRNA codon recognition, and the 3' end, to which the tRNAs corresponding amino acid is attached (by aminoacyl-tRNA synthetases). tRNAs cope with the degeneracy of the genetic code in two manners: having more than one tRNA (with a specific anti-codon) for a particular amino acid; and 'wobble' base-pairing, i.e. permitting non-standard base-pairing at the 3rd anti-codon position. Lineage: Duplodnaviria; Heunggongvirae; Uroviricota; Caudoviricetes. The record is from RNAcentral.
GCCGGAUUAGUUCAGUGGGAGAACGUCUGCUUUACACGCAGAAUGUGGAGGGUUCGAUUCCUUCAUCCGGUAC